RNAcentral lists this ribosomal RNA (439 nucleotides) under uncultured bacterium. Its description in RNAcentral is "partial 16S ribosomal RNA". It matches the Rfam family "Bacterial small subunit ribosomal RNA", at positions 339 to 795 of the family's 1533-position model. The record is from RNAcentral.
CUACGGGUGGCAGCAGUGGGGAAUAUUGCACAAUGGAGGAAACUCUGAUGCAGCAACGCCGCGUGGAGGAUGACACUUUUCGGAGCGUAAACUCCUUUUAUAUAGGAAGAAGAUGACGGUACUAUAUGAAUAAGCGCCGGCUAACUCCGUGCCAGCAGCCGCGGUAAUACGGAGGGCGCAAGCGUUACUCGGAAUCACUGGGCGUAAAGAGCGUGUAGGCGGAUUAAAAAGUCAGAAGUGAAAUCCUAUAGCUUAACUAUAGAACUGCUUCUGAAACUCUUAAACUAGAAUAUGGGAGAGGUAGAUGGAAUUUCUGGUGUAGGGGUAAAAUCCGUAGAGAUCAGAAGGAAUACCGAUUGCGAAGGCGACCUACUAGAACAUUAUUGACGCUGAGCCGCGAAAGCGUGGGGAGCAAACAGGAUUAGAUACCCCCGUAGUC